This 58-nucleotide transfer RNA is filed under the name Loxodonta africana (African savanna elephant). It matches the Rfam family "tRNA", at positions 8 to 63 of the family's 71-position model. From Rfam's summary of the family: Transfer RNA (tRNA) molecules are approximately 80 nucleotides in length. Their secondary structure includes four short double-helical elements and three loops (D, anti-codon, and T loops). Lineage: Eukaryota; Metazoa; Chordata; Mammalia; Proboscidea; Elephantidae. The record is from Rfam by way of RNAcentral.
UGGCAUAGUGGUUAAGUGCCAUGGCUGCUAACCAAGAGGCUGGCGGUUCAAAUCCGCC